RNAcentral lists this long non-coding RNA (342 nucleotides) under Salmo salar (Atlantic salmon). Its description in RNAcentral is "lncRNA (ENSSSAG00000086974.1)". Lineage: Eukaryota; Metazoa; Chordata; Actinopteri; Salmoniformes; Salmonidae. The record is from RNAcentral.
GUUAACAGACAGCAGUAUAAGGGUUAACAGACAGGGUUAACAGACAGCAGUAUAAGGGUUAACAGACAGGGUUAACAGACAGCAGUAUAAGGGUUAACAGACAGGGUUAACAGACAGCAGUGUAAGGGUUAACAGACAGGGUUAACAGACAGCAGUGUAAGGGUUAACAGACAGCAGUGUAAGGGUUAAUAACAGCAGUGUAAGGGUUAAUAACAGACAGCAGUGUAAGGGGUUAAUAACAGCAGUGUAAGGGUUAACAGACAGCAUGUAAGGGUUAAUAACAGACAGCAGUGUAAGGGUUAACAGACAGCAGUGUAAGGGUUAACAGACAGCAGUGUAAGG